AAAAGUGUUGUUUAUGAAAAUAGUACGAUGAGUUAAGCAUAACAUUUAACUGUCGGCUAAAAUACCUUGUUAUUUUAUUCACACUCUUACAUACACUAAACCUGAUAUGCUGACAUAUACCUGAGAUUACAAUCUACCAGGUACAUUGUGUACCUGUGACAUUGCACACGAGGUCACGUGGGACGUAAGUGGGACGAUUCAUGAAAUGCCCCUUCUCGACAUCCAGCGUUCACAUUCCUGACGAAGGUAGAGUGGAAGUGCUGUUUGGCAGAACAGAAAGGGUUCAAAUUCCUGACGAAGGUAGAGUGGAAGUGCUGUUUGGCAGAACAGAAAGGAGACACGGGUGUGGAAUCCCCACGUGCACAAAUGCAUGGUGCAUGAGUGUGAAGAGGUUCUUUGAGGUGUACACGUUUGACGCGAGAAGAAGUUGAGUAUUUGGAGGUGAAUUCAGUAUCGAUGUGGAAUGAACAUCUUAACUUGGACGGUUGGGCUCUAUUCCAUCUUCCAGUUCGUACCAGUGACCAGUGAAGUUGGAGGCGGGCACAGUGGUAGUAACAAGUGGGGACCUGCAUGUGUCAAGAACUGUCCAUCUAAUUGUCGCCCUUAUUACAACAUAGUCCACUGUAAUGCCACUACGGGAGCGUGUCUGGAAGGUUGUAACUUGAGUAUUUGGAGAUGAAUUCAGUAUCGAUGUGGAAUGAACAUCUUAACUUGGACGGUUGGGCUCUAUUCCAUCUUCCAGUUCGUACCAGUGACCAGUGAAGUUGGAGGUGGACACUGUGGUAGUAACAAGUGGGGACCUGCAUGUGUCAAGAGCUGUCCAUCUAACUGUCGCCCUUUUCACGAUAUCGUUCACUGUGAUUUCACUACAGGAGAGUGUCUGGAAGGUUGUGACGUGGGCUAUCAUGAUACCUUCUGUCGCACACAAUGCAACUCUAACUGCAUCAACAACACCUGUAACCAAGUAGAUGGCGAGUGUUCCAUUGGGUGCAAGAAUGGGACAUCGUGUAUAGUUACAACGCCACCAAUUGCAACAAACAAGUCUAAUACUGAUAUCACGCAGACUCAUAGCGAUUUCACUAGCUGCCUCGGUGUUUCCUUAACCAUCAUAGUGACUGUGAUUUUAAAUGCACUGUCAGCAUUGUUUGUAUAUGCCAUAUGGCGCAGACGCAGACGCAGACACCAAAUACGGAGAAACAAGAGGACUGAUGAAGGUCGUGCAGAGGAAACGGUUGAGAUGAACCGACUGGAUACUGAAUACAGCAAUUGAUUCUUUCAGCACAAAUAUUGUUCCUUUCUGCAAGUAUGGAUGAAUGCCGAUUAUUUCGUUACGUCGUAUUGUUGACAAUGGUUGUUGGUAUACAGGCUCAACAAUGCCCAGCUGGUUUCUAUGGUAGCAGGUGCCAGCAUCCGUGUCCAAGGAAUUGCAAUAGCCAGCAAUGCAACAUUGACAAAUUUGGUCGAACUGUUUGUACCUACGGAUGUGUGGAUGGAUACAGAGGCACCUCGUGCAGAAUCCCCUGUCCAGUGAAUUGUCAAGUGUGUGAACGUGUCAACGGCAGCUGUAUUAACUGUAAGGAUCCCUUUCAUGGUACAAACUGUACUCUCACAUGUGAAGAGUUGUGCCAGGGAUUCCGGUGUGACACAGACCAGACUUGCUCUAAAACGACGUGUCUUGACGGGCAGUAUGGACAGAACUGCAGUAACAAGUGUUAUCCCCAGUACCUGACAUGUACCCGAUCUACUGGAGGCUGCACUGCCUGCAGAGAUGGUUACUAUGGACAGUUCUGUGAGCUGGAUUGUCCUCGGUGCGGCUUUACAGACGGUAGUGUGGAUCAGACAUGUAAAGAUGGAUGCAACACGAUUUCAUGUUCAGACAUCACAGGCGGCGACUGUGGAAGGAAUAUACCGCUGACUGUGUUUGUUCCUGUGGUUCUGCUGCUGGUCAUUGCAAUCGUUGUGAUACUGUGUCUGUGGUGGCGCAUACACAAGAAGAUCAUGUAAGUGGACUUGUUCACUCAACCUUAUCUACCAAAGUUCGGGACAUGGUUUUGAGUGCAAAGAGAUUGAAUUGAAAACGUGGUGAAUGCAUACAAUUUAAUCAGGCGAGUCGACCAUGCAGACAGUGUGGUGAACAAUGU
RNAcentral lists this long non-coding RNA (2141 nucleotides) under Haliotis rufescens (red abalone). Its description in RNAcentral is "uncharacterized LOC125382081, transcript variant X2". The record is from RNAcentral. Lineage: Eukaryota; Metazoa; Mollusca; Gastropoda; Lepetellida; Haliotidae.